RNAcentral lists this long non-coding RNA (1434 nucleotides) under Ananas comosus (pineapple). Its description in RNAcentral is "long non-coding RNA (ACOM_LNC001340)". Lineage: Eukaryota; Viridiplantae; Streptophyta; Magnoliopsida; Poales; Bromeliaceae. The record is from RNAcentral.
AAAUCUUAAACAAUAACUAUCGACGCUUUAAAAUAUCAACAAAUAUAACACCGACGUUUGUAAAAAUAUCAAGCAAAAAGUCGUUAAGUAAAUAUGUCGGAAUAAAUAUAUCGACGCUUUAAUUAAUAUAGUGUCGAAAAAAUUUUAUCAAUGGUUGAUAAAAAUAUAUUUUUUAACGAUACUUAAUCAUGGUGUUGGCAUAUACCAAAUAUUGAAGACGUUAGAAUAGAACGUCGCCUAAAAUAUAUUUUGUUGUAGUGCACAUAUUAUAUAUAUAUAUAGAGAGAGAGAGAGAGAGAGAGAGAGAGAGCAGGGCUACUAUACUCCUACGAGUAUAGAGCCCUUCAUAUUUAUAAGCUGUUUCGAUGAUGAAGCUUCCAAAUCGACGAUCCACUCCGUUAAAUAUAAUCUAGAGUAUUUGAAACCUUUUAAAAAUUAAUUUCGAAAUUUCGAAAUUAUAAUAAAGUCUAUAUAUCAAGCAAGCACAAAAUGAACGGUCAAAAUCGAACGACGUCCUAAAAAUGGAUGAUUGGAUCAUUUAAUUUAAGAUCGGAGUUACCGAUCUUUAUUUAAAUAGUGAAUAAAAUUUUCUAUCAAAAAUUCAACCAAAUCCAAUUCUUUUACACUGUUAAACUAGCAAGUAUCCUAUACCGCUGUUAAAAAUUAUUAAUUUUGUAACUUUUGAUCGUAAGACAAAUGAUAUUGAAAAAUUAUGAAAUUUGAUUUCUAGAAAAAUUUUAAAUGCUCUAUAUAAUGUUUAACGAUAUGGAUCAUCAAUUUGUAAGCUCUAUCGUUGAAAAUAACUUAUGAGUACGAAGGCAAUCGUAUUCAUAAGAAUAUAGUAGCCGGACUCUAUAUAUAUAUAUAGAGACAGAGAGAGAGAGAGAGAGUCUGGCUACUAAACUCUUCUGAGUAUAGAGCCUUUUGUACUCAUAAAUUUUUUACCGUUUGAUCUACCCUUUAAUUAUUUUCAUCUGUUAGAUUAUACUAUUCAACCAACAACGCACUCAACCCUAGGGGGGCCCACUAUCAACCUAACCGUAACUACUCUCAUCCUAACCGCACAUCUUUUCAUCUGAACGGCCGAAAAGUUAUGAGUACAAAGAACUCUAUACUCAUAUGAGUAUAGUAGCCCAGCCUAUACUCAUAUGAGUACAAAAAACUCUAUACUCAUAUAAUCCAAUGGUUAGAAAUAAUGAAAAGAGUUGAUCCAAAGGCUAAAAAACUGGUAGCAACAAUGGAAUUUUGCUACUAAUAGUAGCCCAGUCCAACUCUAUAUAUAGAAUUAGGCUGGAAUACUAUUAAUAGUAAAACGUUCAUUUUGCUAUCAAGUUUUUAACUCUUGGAUGAAAAAUUGUAGGGUCAGGAUGAUAUUAGUCGGUUAGAGUUGAGUGGUCCCCCUAGGGUUGAGUGGUCCCCACUGGGUUAUAGUAU